RNAcentral lists this small RNA (1056 nucleotides) under Pan troglodytes (chimpanzee). RNAcentral describes it as "retained intron". The record is from RNAcentral. Lineage: Eukaryota; Metazoa; Chordata; Mammalia; Primates; Hominidae.
AGAAGCUCGGCAUGGCUGACGACGCGGGUUUGGAGACCCCGCUGUGUUCCGAGCAGUUCGGCUCCGGGGAGGCACGGGGCUGCCGCGCCGCCGCGGACGGGAGCCUGCAGUGGGAGGUCGGGGGCUGGCGCUGGUGGGGGCUCUCCAGGGCCUUCACGGUCAAACCUGAAGGACGAGAUGCGGGCGAAGUGGGGGCUCCCGGGGCCCCCUCACCGCCCCUCUCCGGGCUCCAGGCCGUGUUCCUGCCUCAGGGCUUCCCUGAUAGCGUCAGCCCGGACUACUUGCCCUACCAGCUGUGGGAUUCCGUGCAGGCCUUUGCUUCCAGCCUCUCCGGCUCCCUAGCCACCCAGGCAGUCUUGCUGGGCAUAGGGGUGGGGAACGCAAAAGCCACUGUUUCAGCUGCCACGGCCACCUGGCUCGUGAAAGAUUCAACUGGCAUGCUGGGCCGCAUCGUCUUUGCCUGGUGGAAAGGUGCAUCGUGAGUGUUGCUGGUGGGGCCACUCGGGCUGCCCUGACCGUGCACCAGGCUCGCAGGAACAACAUGGCUGACGUGUCAGCCAAGGACAGCAGCCAGGAGACGCUGGUGAACCUGGCGGGGCUCUUGGUCAGCCUCCUGAUGCUCCCUCUGGUGUCAGGUUGCCCUGGGUAAGCCGGAAGCAGGGUGGGCAGGAGAACCCCAGCUGGGCCUCUGCCCACUUCAGCUACCUCACUCUCUCACCCCAGCUUCAGCCUUGGAUGUUUCUUCUUCCUCACUGCCCUCCACAUCUACGCCAACUACCGCGCGGUCCGAGCCCUGGUCAUGGAGACCUUGAAUGAAGGCCGGCUCCGGCUGGUCCUGAAGCACUACCUUCAGAGGGGAGAGGUACUCGACCCAACUGCAGCCAAUCGCAUGGAGCCGCUGUGGACAGGUGACCCUGCCCCUGGUCUCGGGUCCUGUGUCUCAGCCUCUCCCACUGCCUAGGCAUCCUGACCCCAGCUUCCCACAGGUUUCUGGCCAGCUCCGUCUCUAUCCCUAGGGGUCCCCUUACACCGCUUGGUCUCCAGGUGAGUGGCCUA